RNAcentral lists this ribosomal RNA (630 nucleotides) under uncultured bacterium. Its description in RNAcentral is "bacterial SSU rRNA". It matches the Rfam family "Bacterial small subunit ribosomal RNA", at positions 8 to 636 of the family's 1533-position model. The record is from RNAcentral.
AGAGUUUGAUUCUGGCUCAGGAUGAACGCUGGCGGCGUGCUUAACACAUGCAAGUCGAACGAAGCACUACCGACGGAACUUUUCGGAGGGAAGAUGGUAAUGACUGAGUGGCGGACGGGUGAGUAACGCGUGGGCAACCUGCCCCAUAGAGGGGGACAACAGCUGGAAACGGCUGCUAAUACCGCAUAACAAGGAGAGAGCGCAUGUUCUUUUCUUCAAAGAUUUAUCGCUAUGGGAUGGACCCGCGUCUGAUUAGCUGGUUGGUGAGGUAACGGCUCACCAAGGCGACGAUCAGUAGCCGGCUUGAGAGAGUGGACGGCCACAUUGGGACUGAGACACGGCCCAGACUCCUACGGGAGGCAGCAGUGGGGAAUAUUGCACAAUGGGGGAAACCCUGAUGCAGCGACGCCGCGUGAGUGAAGAAGUAUUUCGGUAUGUAAAGCUCUAUCAGCAGGGAAGAUAAUGACGGUACCUGACUAAGAAGCCCCGGCUAACUACGUGCCAGCAGUCGCGGUAAUACGUAGGGGGCAAGCGUUAUCCGGAUUUACUGGGUGUAAAGGGAGCGUAGGUGGCAGGGCAAGUCAGAUGUGAAAACCCGGGGCUCAACCCCGGGAGUGCAUUUGAAACUGU